Molecule: transfer RNA, 77 nt
Filed under: Nitrococcus sp.
Lineage: Bacteria; Pseudomonadati; Pseudomonadota; Gammaproteobacteria; Chromatiales; Ectothiorhodospiraceae
Description: tRNA-Pro
Rfam family: tRNA
About the family: Transfer RNA (tRNA) molecules are approximately 80 nucleotides in length. Their secondary structure includes four short double-helical elements and three loops (D, anti-codon, and T loops). Further hydrogen bonds mediate the characteristic L-shaped molecular structure. tRNAs have two regions of fundamental functional importance: the anti-codon, which is responsible for specific mRNA codon recognition, and the 3' end, to which the tRNAs corresponding amino acid is attached (by aminoacyl-tRNA synthetases). tRNAs cope with the degeneracy of the genetic code in two manners: having more than one tRNA (with a specific anti-codon) for a particular amino acid; and 'wobble' base-pairing, i.e. permitting non-standard base-pairing at the 3rd anti-codon position.
Source: RNAcentral
CGGGGUGUAGCGCAGCCUGGUAGCGCACCUGCUUUGGGAGCAGGAAGUCGGGGGUUCGAAUCCCUCCACCCCGACCA